UGUUAAUAAUUUUAUCAAUGCGUACAAUUAAAAAUUAGUGUGAUUGACGGAAUAACUAGACAACGAUGUGUGUUGAUGUACAUGGAUCAAGUUUUAACCGUAGAAAUGGAUGAAAUUUUUAACA
Gossypium raimondii (Peruvian cotton) is the source of this 124-nucleotide non-coding RNA. The record is from Rfam. NCBI's taxonomy places the organism in Eukaryota, Viridiplantae, Streptophyta, Magnoliopsida, Malvales, Malvaceae.